GGCUGGCAGUCCGGCAGGCCGAACUUGAGCUGGAUCAGCUGCUUCUCGUCGGCGCAUCUCUUCCGCAUCGCCGUCGACAGUAUCGAUUCAAACCACUGCGGGUAAAAUUGGAUCAGACUGUUCUCCAGAAAUCAGGAUUUGGCAUGAGAUCACAAAUCAUACGUACACGACCAAUCCGCGGGGAUCUGCAGCACAACAUGGAUUGUUCAAUGGAGUUGGCAGUCACAGCAUAUCCACCAACAUUGUAGGCAGCCUGCAAUAUGUGAGUUAUUUGUCAGCCACAUCAUUAUGAACUCCAGCACUCAGGGAUAACUGUAACUAAAAUAUCCUUUUCACCUUGUGAAA
Non-coding RNA from Aegilops tauschii subsp. strangulata, 345 nucleotides. NCBI's taxonomy places the organism in Eukaryota, Viridiplantae, Streptophyta, Magnoliopsida, Poales, Poaceae. The record is from RefSeq and is a predicted model, not a curated record.